Molecule: ribosomal RNA, 207 nt
Filed under: uncultured bacterium
Lineage: Bacteria
Description: partial 16S ribosomal RNA
Rfam family: Bacterial small subunit ribosomal RNA
Source: RNAcentral
CGUGCAGGCGGUCCUGUAAGUUGUGCGUGAAAGCGCCCGGCUCAACCGGGCGAGGACGUGCAAAACUGCAAGACUAGAGGGAGGUAGAGGCGCGUGGAAUUCCGGGUGUAGUGGUGAAAUGCGUAGAUAUCCGGAGGAACACCAGUGGCGAAGGCGGCGCGCUGGGCCUAACCUGACGCUAAGACGCGAAAGCAUGGGGAGCGAACG